RNAcentral lists this transfer RNA (66 nucleotides) under Oxytauchira flange. Its description in RNAcentral is "tRNA-Leu". Lineage: Eukaryota; Metazoa; Arthropoda; Insecta; Orthoptera; Acrididae. The record is from RNAcentral.
ACUAUUUUGACAGAUUAUUGUGUUGGGUUUAGAAUUCAUUUAUGUGUAUUUAUUUCACAAAUAGUA